This 465-nucleotide ribosomal RNA is filed under the name Vreelandella stevensii. RNAcentral's name for it is "partial 16S ribosomal RNA". It matches the Rfam family "Bacterial small subunit ribosomal RNA", at positions 338 to 795 of the family's 1533-position model. Lineage: Bacteria; Pseudomonadati; Pseudomonadota; Gammaproteobacteria; Oceanospirillales; Halomonadaceae. The record is from RNAcentral.
CCUACGGGAGGCUGCAGAGGGGAAUAUUGGACAAUGGGGGCAACCCUGAUCCAGCCAUGCCGCGUGUGUGAAGAAGGCCCUCGGGUUGUAAAGCACUUUCAGUGAGGAAGAACGCCUGGUGGUUAAUACCCAUCAGGAAAGACAUCACUCACAGAAGAAGCACCGGCUAACUCCGUGCCAGCAGCCGCGGUAAUACGGAGGGUGCGAGCGUUAAUCGGAAUUACUGGGCGUAAAGCGCGCGUAGGUGGCUUGAUAAGCCGGUUGUGAAAGCCCCGGGCUCAACCUGGGAACGGCAUCCGGAACUGUCAAGCUAGAGUGCAGGAGAGGAAGGUAGAAUUCCCGGUGUAGCGGUGUAAUGCGUAGAGAUCGGGAGGAAUACCAGUGGCGAAGGCGGCCUUCUGGACUGACACUGACACUGAGGUGCGAAAGCGUGGGUAGCAAACAGGAUUAGAUACCCUAGUAGUC